AUUAUUACUUUGGCAGACUAGUGUGUUUGAUUUAGAUUCAUUUUAAGUAAAAUUUACAAGUAAUA
RNAcentral lists this transfer RNA (65 nucleotides) under Scarelus pseudoumbrosus. Its description in RNAcentral is "tRNA-Leu". The record is from RNAcentral. Lineage: Eukaryota; Metazoa; Arthropoda; Insecta; Coleoptera; Lycidae.